This 774-nucleotide ribosomal RNA is filed under the name uncultured Neocallimastigales. RNAcentral's name for it is "partial large subunit ribosomal RNA". It matches the Rfam family "Eukaryotic large subunit ribosomal RNA", at positions 23 to 626 of the family's 3401-position model. Lineage: Eukaryota; Fungi; Neocallimastigomycota; Neocallimastigomycetes; Neocallimastigales. The record is from RNAcentral.
AGAGAGAGACAUGCGCGCAUAUCAAUAAGCGGAGGAAAAGAAACUAACAAGGAUUCCCUUAGUAACGGCGAGUGAAGCGGGAAGAGCUCAAAUUUGAAAUCUUCAAGGUUUUACCUUGACGAAUUGUAGUUUAAAGAAGUGUUUUCUGCUGAAGUUUUGGUAAAAGUUCUUUGGAAUAGGACAUCAUAGAGGGUGAGAAUCCCGUAUUUGACCAUUAUUUUCAGCUUUGUGAUACACUUUCAAAGAGUCGGAUUGUUUGGGAAUGCAGUCCAAAAUGGGUGGUAAAUUUCAUCUAAAGCUAAAUAUUGGCGAGAGACCGAUAGCGAACAAGUACCGUGAGGGAAAGAUGAAAAGAACUUUGAAAAGAGAGUUAAACAGUACGUGAAAUUGUCAAAAGGGAAGCGUUUGACACCAGUGUUGUUUUCUCGAAAAUCAAUUAAAAAUGGCUCGAUUUUGUAUUGCUUGAGACCUUAAAAGCUCACUGUACAUUUUUCGUGUCUUUUUUAAUGCACUUUUCGUUUAACAAGUCAACAUCAGUUUCUUUUGUUGUAAAGGGUCAUUGGAAGGUGGCUUUCCUUUCGGAGAAAGUGUUUAUAGCCUUUGGCCUCUGCAAUCGGAGAGACUGAGGUCUGCAGCGUAGACUCUUCGGGGUUAGAUACAUUUGUGCUAAGUUAUAGCUUUUUAUAGACAACUUGUUGACUAUAAUUAGUCUUGUAGCUUACUCGCUUAUGCUAUUUUACCUACGCUUAGGAUGUUGAGUCGUAGAGCACGCAG